UACAGAGGUCUCAACCGUUGUUCGGAUUCAUUGGGCGUAAAGGGUGCGUAGGCGGCGGGGCAAGUCAGGUGUGAAAUCUCGGGGCUCAACCCCGAAACUGCACUUGAUACUGCCUUGCUCGAGUACUGGAGAGGAGACUGGAAUUUACGGUGUAGCAGUGAAAUGCGUAGAUAUCGUAAGGAAGACCAGUGGCGAAGGCGAGUCUCUGGACAGUUACUGACGCUGAGGCACGAAGGCCAGGGGAGCAAACGGG
This 253-nucleotide ribosomal RNA is filed under the name uncultured bacterium. Its description in RNAcentral is "partial 16S ribosomal RNA". It matches the Rfam family "Bacterial small subunit ribosomal RNA", at positions 524 to 776 of the family's 1533-position model. The record is from RNAcentral.